RNAcentral lists this ribosomal RNA (207 nucleotides) under uncultured bacterium. Its description in RNAcentral is "partial 16S ribosomal RNA". It matches the Rfam family "Bacterial small subunit ribosomal RNA", at positions 568 to 774 of the family's 1533-position model. The record is from RNAcentral.
CACGUAGGCGGAUAUUUAAGUCAGGGGUGAAAUCCCAGAGCUCAACUCUGGAACUGCCUUUGAUACUGGGUAUCUUGAGUAUGGAAGAGGUAAGUGGAAUUCCGAGUGUAGAGGUGAAAUUCGUAGAUAUUCGGAGGAACACCGGUGGCGAAGGUGGCUUACUGGUCCAUUACUGACGCUGAGGUGCGAAAGCGUGGGGAGCAAACA